AGUAACUUAUUUCCCAUUACUUCUAGUUACUUACUUUUAUGUCUUUGAGGUUUUUAAGACAUGCCAAUAUUUUAUCUUUAUACUAGUGUGUGUGUGUGUGUGUGUGUGUGUGUGUGUGUGUGUGUGUGUGUGUGUUUGUACCAGUACCAGGGCUUGAACUUGGCCUCUUGCUUACACUCCACUUUUUCUCUUGGACUGGCACUCUACCACUUGAGCCAUACGUCCAGUCCAACUUUUUUGCUCAUUAAUUGGAAAUAAAUAGAAUCUCACAGGCUUUCCUGCCCAGACUGGCUUCAAACUGUGAUUCUCAGAUCUCAGUCUCCUAAGUAGCUAAGAUUAGAGAUGUAAGCCACUGGGUUGUAACAUUUUUUUAAAUAAAUUUUAAAGGAAAUUUAUUUUUUUAAUUCUGUGGCUCUCAUAUAAUAAGCCUUUUAUUUUCACUUAUUAAAAAAUGUUCAAUUAUUAAUAGCAGAAGGAUGCAAGACCUUUCUGAGUUAGACCUCUGCUUCUUGGUAUCUUUCAGUAUAGAUUAGCUCUUAUAAUGCUUCUGCAGUCCUUGCCCACGUGUGGCCUGCCCAGCAGAGGGUGGAGGUCAUGGGUAGUGCACAGGUUCGAUAGCUGCCCAUCCUUGCACCUGCCGGCUUUAUUCAAAUCAUGACUCAAAUGAAACUGGAUUUUCUCACCUCAUAUGGUACAGUGUCCACAGCUAGAAAUAUUUUUCAGCGAAGUGGUUAGAGUUGCUGCUGUGGCUCUAAACACCUCUUUGGAAUUUCCAGGUGUUGUACUUUUCAAGCCAGAUGGGGUUUUGGGGGGUUUGUUUUUUUGUUUUGUUUUGUUUUUUUAAGGCCCAUCCAUUCUAAAACUAUAGG
Molecule: long non-coding RNA, 869 nt
Organism: Perognathus longimembris pacificus (Pacific pocket mouse)
Lineage: Eukaryota; Metazoa; Chordata; Mammalia; Rodentia; Heteromyidae
Exons: 3
Source: RefSeq, a predicted model, not a curated record